Molecule: ribosomal RNA, 497 nt
Filed under: uncultured bacterium
Lineage: Bacteria
Description: partial 16S ribosomal RNA
Rfam family: Bacterial small subunit ribosomal RNA
Source: RNAcentral
GAUGAACGCUGGCGGCGUGCCUAAUACAUGCAAGUCGAGCGAACAGAUGAGGAGCUUGCUCCUCUGACGUUAGCGGCGGACGGGUGAGUAACACGUGGAUAACCUACCUAUAAGACUGGGAUAACUUCGGGAAACCGGAGCUAAUACCGGAUAAUAUAUUGAACCGCAUGGUUCAAUAGUGAAAGACGGUUUUGCUGUCACUUAUAGAUGGAUCCGCGCCGCAUUAGCUAGUUGGUAAGGUAACGGCUUACCAAGGCAACGAUGCGUAGCCGACCUGAGAGGGAGGUCGGCCACACUGGAACUGAGAAAGGGUCCAGACUCCUGCGGGGGGCAGCAGUAGGGAAUCCUACGCAAUGGAGGAAAGCGUGACGGUGCAAAGCCGCGGGAGGGCUGAUGGACUUAGGCUGGGAAAGUGAUGAAAGUAGGGAAGUACAAAAGUGCAAGUACCUAGGAACGUAAUGACGGUACCGAAUGAGAAAGCCACGGCUAACUACGUG